CCUACGGGAGGCAGCAGUAAGGAAUAUUGGUCAAUGGAGGCAACUCUGAACCAGCCAUGCCGCGUGCAGGAAGAAGGCCCUAUGGGUCGUAAACUGCUUUUGUACCAGAGAAAACCCGAGUACGUGUACUCGGUUGAUAGUAUGGUAAGAAUAAGCAUCGGCUAACUUCGUGCCAGCAGCCGCGGUAAGACGAAGGAUGCAAGCGUUAUCCGGAUUCAUUGGGUUUAAAGGGUGCGUAGGCGGACUGAUAAGUCAGUGGUGAAAUCUCUCAGCUUAACUGAGAAACUGCCAUUGAUACUGUUAGUCUAGAGUAUAGAUGACGUUGGCGGAAUAUGACAUGUAGUGGUGAAAUACUUAGAUAUGUCAUAGAACACCGAUUGCGAAGGCAGCUAACGAAACUAUAACUGACGCUGAGGCACGAAAGUGCGGGGAUCAAACAGGAUUAGAUACCCUGGUAGUCCGCACCGUAAACGAUGAUUACUCGUUGUUGGCAAUAUGACCGUCAGCGACCAAGCGAAAGCGAUAAGAAUCCACCUGGGGGUACGCCGGCAACGGUGAAACUCAAAGGAAUUGACGGCUGAGACGNGCGAGGACGACGACGAGGGAGAGG
RNAcentral lists this ribosomal RNA (610 nucleotides) under uncultured bacterium. RNAcentral's name for it is "bacterial SSU rRNA". It matches the Rfam family "Bacterial small subunit ribosomal RNA", at positions 338 to 956 of the family's 1533-position model. The record is from RNAcentral.